Molecule: ribosomal RNA, 468 nt
Filed under: uncultured bacterium
Lineage: Bacteria
Description: partial 16S ribosomal RNA
Rfam family: Bacterial small subunit ribosomal RNA
Source: RNAcentral
GACGAACGCUGGCGGCGUGCUUAACACAUGCAAGUCGAACGGAAAGGCCCUGCUUUUGUGGGGUGCUCGAGUGGCGAACGGGUGAGUAACACGUGAGUAACCUGCCCUUGACUGUGGGAUAACUUCAGGAAACUGGGGCUAAUACCGGAUAGGAGCUCCUGCUGCAUGGUGGGGGUGGGAAAGUUUCGGCGGUUGGGGAUGGACUCGCGGCUUAUCAGCUUGUUGGUGGGGUAGUGGCUUACCAAGGCUUUGACGGGUAGCCGGCCUGAGAGGGUGACCGGCCACACUGGGACUGAGAUACGGCCCAGACUCCUACGGGAGGCAGCAGUGCGGAAUAUUGCACAAUGGGCGGAAGCCUGAUGCAGCAACGCCGCGUGCGGGAUGACGGCCUUCGGGUUGUAAACCGCUUUCGCCUGUGACGAAGCGUGAGUGACGGUAAUGGGUAAAGAAGCACCGGCUAACUACGUG